Molecule: long non-coding RNA, 424 nt
Organism: Gigantopelta aegis
Lineage: Eukaryota; Metazoa; Mollusca; Gastropoda; Neomphalida; Peltospiridae
Exons: 3
Source: RefSeq, a predicted model, not a curated record
AGCCGUAUAUUUGGCAAGAAAUGCUGUUGUGAUUUGAUUUGUAACGUGUGUUACAGUGCAUAGAUAAGGGAGAGACGUGUAGCCGUAUAUUUGGCAAGAAAUGCUGUGGUGAUUUGGAAUGCAAGAAGGGAUUUUUGAGCGACGAAUACACCUGUCGAAAGUCAAGCGAAGAUGACUGCAUAGAUGAGGGAGAGACGUGUAACGGUAUACUUGGCAAGAAAUGCUGUCGUGAUUUGGAAUGCAAGAAGGGAUUUUUGAGCGACAAAUACACCUGUCGAAAGUCAAGCGAAGAUGACUGUGCAGGGAAAAACGAGAAAUGUGAGAGAAACAGCGACUGCUGUGGCAACAGAAAAUGCAGACGACGAAACAAUUCCAAAAGAUGCGAGUAGUGUCAGGACGAUGCGUACUACAGCAGAACUUCACA